AGAGUGCUUACAGACAAACGGCACGUGUCGACAGCACGCGUCGACGGCAGUUGACGGCUGCCGCCGACAGUUGAAGGCU
Aricia agestis (brown argus) is the source of this 79-nucleotide long non-coding RNA. RefSeq lists it as uncharacterized. The transcript is spliced from 3 exons. The record is from RefSeq and is a predicted model, not a curated record. Lineage: Eukaryota; Metazoa; Arthropoda; Insecta; Lepidoptera; Lycaenidae.